Molecule: small nucleolar RNA, 106 nt
Organism: Malania oleifera
Lineage: Eukaryota; Viridiplantae; Streptophyta; Magnoliopsida; Santalales; Ximeniaceae
Source: RefSeq, a predicted model, not a curated record
ACUUGAUGGUGAGGGCAUUUAUGUAAGAGGUCCUUAAAGCGUUCUCGGGUCUUGAAAAAUUGUUCUCCAUUUAUUUGUGAGAAACUAGCAAUUGCCUUCCUCAACU